GAAACNGAUCUUCCCGUGAAGAAGCGGGAAUUAUUCUAUAAGACGAGAAGACCCCAUGAAGCUUCAAAUAAGUAUCAACUGUUAACUUUACACCACCAGACACCUAAUAGCCCUGACUACUAAUUUUUGGUUGGGGCGACCACGGAGUAAAACAAAACCUCCACAAUGAAAAGACCUAACCCAUUAUUCAAGAACAACAGUUCUAACAAUCAACACAUUGACAUAAUUGACCCAAACCCCCAUUGAUCAAUGAACCAAGUUACUCUGGGGAUAACAGCGCUAUCUAUUUCAAGAGUUCAUAUCGACAAAUGGGUUUACGACCUCGAUGUUGGAUCGGGGUAUCCCAGUGGUGCAGCCGCUACUAAAGGUUCGUUUGUUCAACGAUUAAAACCCCACGUGAUCUG
Molecule: ribosomal RNA, 404 nt
Filed under: Arthroleptis wahlbergii (Wahlberg's forest frog)
Lineage: Eukaryota; Metazoa; Chordata; Amphibia; Anura; Arthroleptidae
Description: partial 16S ribosomal RNA
Rfam family: Bacterial large subunit ribosomal RNA
Source: RNAcentral